GAGGCCAUCCUGAUGAAUAUGAGGUGGUAGAGCUGCCUGCUUUUUGAUUAACGUGACGAUCACACCCUCUGCCUGGGAGUUUUACAGAAUGGUGAUGACUUUUUGUGGCAUCUCCGGAAAGAACAUAACUUCAUGGACGUCCUUAGUCAGAAUCUACUCAGUAUAUCUACUCGGUAUAGGCUCACGUGAGACUCACCUGCUGAGGGAGUCACAACCUCUACUAUACUUCUUCCUUUUGCUCUGCCCCCCACCAACCACCCUGCCAGCCCUCACCACCUAGAGGGAAAUUGGGAGCCGGUAGAGGAAAGACACCCUAAAUCAAAGCAAAGCCCCGGGGAGGCACCAUGGGAUCCCUGCCUCGGUCCUGCCUACACAGUAUGUGAAUGAGUCUCCCAAAGAUUCUCCCCGCUGUGACCUCCAGGGCCAGCCUGCCUGUGUAGCCGUGAGCUGCUUUCUUCCCAGAGGAACUUGCUCGAGGCAGCAGGACUCCACAGCCUCAGGGGUGGCCUGGGCCUCGGCAAAGUGGGGAGCUGCCUUGGUCCAGCAGGGGUCCAAAUCACCUCCUCAUUUAAAGGGACCAUGUCUCUAGAGAGAAGAUGACAUGCCAAAAAUGAAAACCUCACAGGAGCUUUUUUUCCACCUGCAAGUGAGGUACAGACACGUUUGAGAUGGUGGAUGGACUUUUUUUUCCCUUUUCUCUCUUUCCAAAAUCUGGACACACCAUGGCCCAGUGAUGGAGAAGAAGUCGAGAACCUGGCAAGGAUCUUCUUUCUUAGGAGUGGCGGAGGGCUGACCAGUCUCAAUAAAGCACAGGGGGAGCCCCUGU
Molecule: long non-coding RNA, 826 nt
Filed under: Pongo abelii (Sumatran orangutan)
Lineage: Eukaryota; Metazoa; Chordata; Mammalia; Primates; Hominidae
Description: lincRNA
Source: RNAcentral